RNAcentral lists this ribosomal RNA (774 nucleotides) under uncultured Neocallimastigales. Its description in RNAcentral is "partial large subunit ribosomal RNA". It matches the Rfam family "Eukaryotic large subunit ribosomal RNA", at positions 23 to 649 of the family's 3401-position model. Lineage: Eukaryota; Fungi; Neocallimastigomycota; Neocallimastigomycetes; Neocallimastigales. The record is from RNAcentral.
AGAGAUGUGUGAUGACGCAUAUCAAUAAGCGGAGGAAAAGAAACUAACAAGGAUUCCCUUAGUAACGGCGAGUGAAGCGGGAAGAGCUCAAAUUUGAAAUCUUCAAGGUUCUACCUUGACGAAUUGUAGUUUAAAGAAAUGUUUUCUGUUGGAGUUUUGGUAAAAGUUCUUUGGAAUAGGACAUCAUAGAGGGUGAGAAUCCCGUAUUUGACCAUUAUUUUCAGCUGUGUGAUACACUUUCAAAGAGUCGGAUUGUUUGGGAAUGCAGUCCAAAAUGGGUGGUAAAUUUCAUCUAAAGCUAAAUAUUGGCGAGAGACCGAUAGCGAACAAGUACCGUGAGGGAAAGAUGAAAAGAACUUUGAAAAGAGAGUUAAACAGUACGUGAAAUUGUCAAAAGGGAAGCGUUUGACACCAGUGUUGUUUUUCCGAAAAUCAAUUACGAAUGUUUUGUUUUUAAGAAGUUAUGACUUCAUCGGCUUGCUUCUUUCUUUACGAAACUUUCUUAAUGCACUUUUCGGUUAACAAGUCAACAUCAAUUUCUUUUGUUGUAAAAGGGUAUGAGGAAGGUGGCUUUCUUUUCGGAGAAAGUGUUUAUAGCCUUUUAACUCUGCAAUCGGAGAGAUUGAGGUCUGCAGCGUAGAUCCUUCGGGGUUAGAUACGUUUGUGCUAAGUUAUAGCUUUUCAUAGACAACUUGUUGACUAUGUUUAGUCUUGUAGCUUACUCGCUGACGCUAUUUUACCUACGCUUAGGAUGUUGAGUAGCGACAUACGCAC